RNAcentral lists this ribosomal RNA (426 nucleotides) under uncultured bacterium. Its description in RNAcentral is "partial 16S ribosomal RNA". It matches the Rfam family "Bacterial small subunit ribosomal RNA", at positions 354 to 796 of the family's 1533-position model. The record is from RNAcentral.
GUGAGGAAUUUUCCGCAAUGGGCGAAAGCCUGACGGAGCAAUGCCGCGUGAAGGAUGAAGGCCUAUGGGUUGUAAACUUCUUUUCUCAGAAAAGAAUUAUGACGGUAUCUGAGGAAUAAGCAUCGGCUAACUCUGUGCCAGCAGCCGCGGUAAGACAGAGGAUGCAAGCGUUAUCCGGAAUGAUUGGGCGUAAAGCGUCUGUAGGUUGUUUAAAAAGUAUUCUGUCAAAGAUUAGGGCUUAACCCUAGAUAGGCAGAAUAAACUUUUAAGCUAGAGUUUGGUAGAGGCAGAGGGAAUUCCCGGUGGAGCGGUGAAAUGCGUAGAUAUCGGGAGGAACACCAAAGGCGAUGGCACUCUGCUGGGCCAAUACUAACACUGAGAGACGAAAGCGAGGGGAGCAAAUGGGAUUAGAAACCCGUGUAGUCC